UAUGAGUCUGAUCUUCAGGCCUUGGAGGGCUCUUCUACCCUAAAGUCAUGGGUCCUAAAUCCACCAUGGCUGCCAAGAGUUCCAUCAGGGGUAAGGACUCAAAGCACACAAAGUAAAUACUUUUCCUGUUUUCCUCAAAUUUUUAGGUUUGCAAUAAUAAAAAUAACUGCCACUGUGAUCCUGGCUGGCUACCUCCAAAUUGCAAAGAAAGAGGCCCAGGACAUGGGGGCAGUAUCGACAGUGGCCAUUUGGGGAAAUCUGAUAUAUUUUUUCACUGGGAGAGCCUAUGAAGAUAAUACGAGGAAGAACUGGCUUCUCCUUGGUUUCUACAUUUCUCUACCCUUCCUCAUCAUUACUACCAUUAUAAUUGUAAAACGAAAUGAAAUGAAAAGAUUGUGCCGCACAGAGGAAUUACAAAGUGACGAGUAAAUUCUGAAUACUUAUCUAUUAUACUUAUUUAGCUAAUGAAAAAUUUUUCCAAGUCUUUAUUAGACUAUACCAAGCCAAUAGCUAAGUUUGACAUGUUUAGUUUGGGUGACGGCAGACUUACAAGUAAAGAUGUCUUGAAGCAGGAGGAAAUGUGGGAUUGCAGAGAGGGAGAAAGAGGUCAGGGCUGGAGAUGUAGAUUUGGGUUGUCAUCCGCAUAGAAGUGGUAGUUAAAGCCAAAGUGGGAACGAAUUAGUUCUCCAAGGGAGUGGUAGAUCCAAGUCUCAAAACCAUAUCUUAGAAAGUUGUACAUUUUGUACAUUUUCAGCUUUGUCUUUAACCUGAUGGAGUGUGGCUACCACACUCAGUCUGAUGACAUUCUAAGGAAUAUGCUGUCUUUAUUCAGCUUUCUUCUUCCUUGUCCAUCAUGGUAUUGUUGGAUGUUGUGCUGCUUGUGCAUUAGCAAUUCUGUGACAGCAUUUAUUUCUGUAUUACCAAAGAAGAUCUUUGAUUGUGUGCAGAAUUUUUCUGAUGUAGUUUGAUAAGUUAUCUUAGUUACGCUCACACUUAUUGUCAGUCAGUGGUUCACCAUCAUCUGUAUGUCAUCUUGCUGAAGUUCACUGUGGGCAGGAAAUGUGUCUGUUAUAUUGUUGUGUUGCACUCUCCCAAGGGCUUAGUACAGUGUCUUGCACAUAGUACGCACUAAAUGAAUACAACUGCUUGCUUGAUUGGAGUCCUUGGGGGACAAAGACCUUGUCUAAUUCUCAUCUGUUUUUUUGUAUGUUUUUACCCUAAAAGGAGAUGCUUAAUAAAUAUAGUUAUUACUCCUUAAACUGUGAACACAACACAACUCUGUUUUACUCUAUUAGUUAUGGGACAUGGUUCAGACAGGGUACCCUCAACUUGUUGAAGAACAAUUUCAAGAUCUUGAUGAAAUCUGAUUAACUUAAUUAAUUUAGAAUUUGUCAGCUCCCAGGUCUACCAAUGGUCUUAAUUGCUUUUUUCAAAGUCUACAAAAACAACAUAGAAAUCUUGAAUUUUAUCCCUGAAGUUUUGAUUGAAUCUGACAUGCUGUGCCAUGCAAUGUAUGCUGUGGUCUGAAACCAAACUGAAAAUACUUGCCUUUGGUAGCCAGCUGGGAAGACUUCUGGCUAGGAUCUGGCCAGAAUGGAAAGCAGUGAAAUUCUAGAGUAGUAGUCGCUGACAGACUUUCUUUUUGAAGAUGAUAGUGAUGAUCAAUCAAUCAUUUAUUAUGUGCACACCUCUAUACUAAGUGCUUUGGAGAAUAGUAUUACAGAGUUGGUUGGCAGAAUAUAAUGGUGACAUUUUUAAGGUCCUGUGACAUUUCUUUGUACCAUAUGUUGAGAAAAAACUUUUGUAAAUGUUUAAGCAGUGUAGAUCUUAGCAGUUAUGCAAUUAGAUCUAGGUGCUUUACUAUUUUUCCUGGCAAUGCAGCAGAACAAGGUUGACUUGUCCUCACAAGUAUGGUUUAAAGGCGUCACUGAUACUAGAAGCCG
This 1943-nucleotide long non-coding RNA is filed under the name Ornithorhynchus anatinus (platypus). RNAcentral's name for it is "lncRNA (ENSOANG00000046232.1)". Lineage: Eukaryota; Metazoa; Chordata; Mammalia; Monotremata; Ornithorhynchidae. The record is from RNAcentral.